This 603-nucleotide ribosomal RNA is filed under the name Oberwinklerozyma yarrowii. RNAcentral's name for it is "eukaryotic LSU rRNA". It matches the Rfam family "Eukaryotic large subunit ribosomal RNA", at positions 47 to 663 of the family's 3401-position model. The record is from RNAcentral. Lineage: Eukaryota; Fungi; Basidiomycota; Microbotryomycetes; Chrysozymaceae.
UAAGCGGAAGGAAAAGAAACUAACAAGGAUUCCCCUAGUAACGGCGAGUGAAGCGGGAAGAGCUCAAAUUUGUAAUCUGGCACUUUCAGUGUCCGAGUUGUAAUCUCGAGAAGUGUUUUCCGCGCUGGACCGCAUACAAGUCUGUUGGAAUACAGCGUCAUAGUGGUGAGAACCCCGUAACUGAUGCGGAUGCCCAGUGCUUUGUGAUACACUUUCGAAGAGUCGAGUUGUUUGGGAAUGCAGCUCAAAUUGGGUGGUAAAUUCCAUCUAAAGCUAAAUAUUGGCGAGAGACCGAUAGCGAACAAGUACCGUGAGGGAAAGAUGAAAAGCACUUUGGAAAGAGAGUUAACAGUACGUGAAAUUGUUGGAAGGGAAACGCUUGAAGUCAGACUUGCUAUGUGGAUUUAUUCACUUCGCAGGCCAGCAUCAGUUUCUGGGGGUGGAAAAGGGUUUGGAGAAGGUAGCAACUCCGGUUGUGUUAUAGCUCCUUGCUGGAUUCAUCUUUGGGGACUGAGGAACGCAGCGCGCUUUUUGCAAGGCUCUCGAGCUUUUCGCGCUUAGGAUGCUGGUGGAAUGGCUUUAAACGACCCGUCUUGAAACACG